RNAcentral lists this ribosomal RNA (1113 nucleotides) under Bacillus spizizenii. Its description in RNAcentral is "bacterial SSU rRNA". It matches the Rfam family "Bacterial small subunit ribosomal RNA", at positions 285 to 1383 of the family's 1533-position model. Lineage: Bacteria; Bacillati; Bacillota; Bacilli; Caryophanales; Bacillaceae. The record is from RNAcentral.
AGCCGACCUGAGAGGGAUGAUUCGGCCCACACUGGGACUGAGACACGGGCCCAGACUCCUACCGGGAGGCAGCAGUAGGGAAAUCUUCCGCAAUGGGCCGAAAGUCUGACGGAGCAACGCCGCGUGAGUGAUGAAGGUUUUCGGAUCGUAAAGGUCUGUUGUUAGGGAAGAACAAGUACCGUUCGAAUAGGGCGGUACCUUGACGGUACCUAACCAGAAAGCCACGGCUAACUACGUGCCAGCAGCCGCGGUAAUACGUAGGUGGCAAGCGUUGUCCGGAAUUAUUGGGCGUAAAGGGCUCGCAGGCGGUUUCUUAAGUCUGAUGUGAAAGCCCCCGGCUCAACCGGGGAGGGUCAUUGGAAACUGGGGAACUUGAGUGCAGAAGAGGAGAGUGGAAUUCCACGUGUAGCGGUGAAAUGCGUAGAGAUGUGGAGGAACACCAGUGGCGAAGGCGACUCUCUGGUCUGUAACUGACGCUGAGGAGCGAAAGCGUGGGGAGCGAACAGGAUUAGAUACCCUGGUAGUCCACGCCGUAAACGAUGAGUGCUAAGUGUUAGGGGGUUUCCGCCCCUUAGUGCUGCAGCUAACGCAUUAAGCACUCCGCCUGGGGAGUACGGUCGCAAGACUGAAACUCAAAGGAAUUGACGGGGGCCCGCACAAGCGGUGGAGCAUGUGGUUUAAUUCGAAGCAACGCGAAGAACCUUACCAGGUCUUGACAUCCUCUGACAAUCCUAGAGAUAGGACGUCCCCUUCGGGGGCAGAGUGACAGGUGGUGCAUGGUUGUCGUCAGCUCGUGUCGUGAGAUGUUGGGUUAAGUCCCGCAACGAGCGCAACCCUUGAUCUUAGUUGCCAGCAUUCAGUUGGGCACUCUAAGGUGACUGCCGGUGACAAACCGGAGGAAGGUGGGGAUGACGUCAAAUCAUCAUGCCCCUUAUGACCUGGGCUACACACGUGCUACAAUGGACAGAACAAAGGGCAGCGAAACCGCGAGGUUAAGCCAAUCCCACAAAUCUGUUCUCAGUUCGGAUCGCAGUCUGCAACUCGACUGCGUGAAGCUGGAAUCGCUAGUAAUCGCGGAUCAGCAUGCCGCGGUGAAUACGUUCCCGGGCCUUG